This 490-nucleotide ribosomal RNA is filed under the name uncultured bacterium. RNAcentral describes it as "partial 16S ribosomal RNA". It matches the Rfam family "Bacterial small subunit ribosomal RNA", at positions 30 to 507 of the family's 1533-position model. The record is from RNAcentral.
AUUGAACGCUGGCGGCAGGCCUAACACAUGCAAGUCGAACGGUAACAGGAAGAAGCUUGCUUCUUUGCUGACGAGUGGCGGACGGGUGAGUAAUGUCUGGGAAACUGCCUGAUGGAGGGGGAUAACUACUGGAAACGGUAGCUAAUACCGCAUAACGUCGCAAGACCAAAGAGGGGGACCUUCGGGACUCUUGCCAUCGGAUGUGCCCAGAUGGGAUUAGCUAGUAGGUGGGGUAACGGCUCACCUAGGCGACGCUCCCUAGCUGGUCUGAGAGGAUGACCAGCCACACUGGAACUGAGACACGGUCCAGACUCCUGCGGGAGGCAGCAGUGGAGAAUAUUGCACAAUGGGCGCAAGCCUGAUGCAGCCAUGCCGCGUGUAUGAAGAAGGCCUUCUGGUUGUAAAGUACUUUCAGCGGGGAGGAAGGGAGUAAAGUUAAUACCGUUGCUCAUUGACGUUACCCGCAGAAGAAGCACCGGCUAACUCCGUG